GUCCAAUGACUGCGGCCCACCGAUAGACAUGCACACGCCGUGAAGCGAGACUGGAUAGUCCUCGCGUAUUUUCGUCAGUGCGGCAUGCGGCGGGCCGCCUGCU
This 103-nucleotide small RNA is filed under the name Sinorhizobium meliloti 2011. Its description in RNAcentral is "putative ncRNA". The record is from RNAcentral. Lineage: Bacteria; Pseudomonadati; Pseudomonadota; Alphaproteobacteria; Hyphomicrobiales; Rhizobiaceae.